GACGAACGCUGGCGGCGUGCCUAACACAUGCAAGUCCAACGAGAAAGUCUCCUUCGGGAGACCGGUAAAGUGGCGGACGGGUGAGUAACGCGUGGGAAUCUACCCGGUAGUGGGGAAUAACUCCCCGAAAGGGGAGCUAAUACCGCAUAAGCCCCAAGGGGUAAAGAUGGCCUCUUUCUNAUGCUAUCGCUUCCGGAUGAGCCCGCGUCCUAUUAGCUAGUUGGUGAGGUAAUGGCUCACCAAGGCUACCAUGGGUACCGGUCUGAGGGAUGAACGGCCACACUGGGACUGAGAACGGCCCAGACUCCUACNGGAGGCAGCAGUGGGGAAUUUUGCGCAAUGGGGGAAACCUGACGCACAACGCCCCGUGGAUGACGAAGGCUUCCGGUCGUAAAGUCCUGUUCUGGGGGAAGAAAACAGAAGAGCCAUACCCUCUNGCCUGACGGUACCCAGCANAAAGCUGCGGCCAUUAUGUGCCAGCAGCCCCGGUAAUACAUAAGGAGCAAGCGUUGUCCGGAAUCAUUGGGCGUAAAGAC
Molecule: ribosomal RNA, 536 nt
Filed under: uncultured bacterium
Lineage: Bacteria
Description: bacterial SSU rRNA
Rfam family: Bacterial small subunit ribosomal RNA
Source: RNAcentral